Molecule: long non-coding RNA, 5390 nt
Organism: Zeugodacus cucurbitae (melon fly)
Lineage: Eukaryota; Metazoa; Arthropoda; Insecta; Diptera; Tephritidae
Exons: 3
Source: RefSeq, a predicted model, not a curated record
AUGCAAUGAAAUAGCUCAAUUUUUCUAAAGUGGAAGUGGUAAUAAUAAUAUAGUGAUGUUUUACUAAUUGUGCGGCUAACAACCGCAAUAUUUGCCGUCUAUUCAAUUUUAUUUUACCAAACAGAAAAUAUUUUUGCCAAUCAGCUGUUUAUGGGAGUUUAUAUCUCGCUUUGCUGCCGUCUGUCACCUACAAAUUUGGAACUGAUUAAAAGCGCAGUUAAUCGGGGUUAACUUUGCCGUCUUUCUAGGCCAUAAAUUGCAAAUACACGCAAGUGAAAUUGUGCGGCAAACAUGGUGCAACUAAGUAUACAUAUGUACGUUUUUAUCAAAGAAAAAUGUAACAAGUAAGGAAAGGCCACAGACCACAAAUGAUAUAUUUGAUCCUUGAGCGAACGAAUACUAUCAAAGAACCCGGCUGGCAGCUGCUACUACACCCGCCGUAUACGACAGACUUGGCCCCUUCCGAUUACCUUUUUUAACAUCGAGCAGCACUACGGAGAAGUCGAAAAUUGCUUGUCUGAUUGGAUUGCUUCAAAAGACGGAAAUUACCUGGUUUAGAUAGCAUGCCAAAAUUGUUAGGAAACGUGAAAUCAAAUUCUUCCCAAGAGUUUUUAAUGCAUUUUUGUGGAUGAUUAAUUUCGAAAAAGAUGGAAAAUUGGUAUAAUCUUCGAAAGAAUAAUGUGUGAUCGGAUAGGAAAGCAACUUAAAGAAGUAGAGUCCAUGCAACAAUCAAUAAGGAUUUCGAAAGAAACGCUCGACCAUUGAGUAAAGUUUCAACCGCGGACAAAAAGCAGAAACAGUUUUAAUAGCAGAAAAAACGGAAGUCAUUACACGGAACAUUGUCGGGUAUAACGUUACAAGGGAGACUAAACAGAGCAAGUAAAAGACAGACGGCAGAUUAUUAAUAAGUGGCAAACACUAUGGACGCACGGUUUGACCAGAAAUCUGGUUUAGUAGACAACAUGGUGACGUUGAUUUUUAACUGACGCGAUGCUUAAGUGGUCAUGGGUACUUUAAGGAAUAUCUUUACAAAUAUGGUCGUGGUGAGACAGGAAUAUGCUCAUUUUGUGAAAGAACGAAAGAGGAAACAUUUAUUUUCUAAUGUCCCCGACAUGAAACAAAUAUAAUUAUUCUAGAAAACCAAAUUUCGGAGAGAUUAUUGCCGGACAAUGUAGUACCACGCAUGCUGCGGUCAAGGGGGUGUUUUUGCGGGGAAUUAUAUUUCUAAAUAAAGAAAACCUUAGCCGAAAGUCUACGUCAUAUGAAUUAAUACCAAAAGACGUGGAAAGACGCAUGUUGCAUGUCAAAAAUGCGUCAUGAACGCUACCAAAAUAUGUGGGAUUUGUAGCGAUUUGUGACUGGUAAUUAAAAAUGCACCAUUACGAUAACUCUUAACAUAAAAAAAUCAUAUAAAAUAUAAUACAAAAAAUACAUAAUAUCAUAUAUUAUAGUACCCAGACCUAUUAGGUACCUAAACAAAUACAAGAACGAGGCGCACAAAAUGUUAUGUUGCAGAAAUAUAAAUUAUAACUAACUACUACGUGGUGUGUUCAAAAAAUAACGGGUAUUUUAAAAUUGAAAUUAUCAUUUUUUUAUUAUUUGUUGUUAUAGCCUUAACCGAUGGCAACGCUAAUUUGCAUUAGCGGGCUUGAUUUGCAAUAAAUUGCGCAUUAGAUCCAUUUUAGUGCAAAUUAGUUUCAUAUAAAUGAGCACACGCCCCAUUUGCUAUUGUGAAUGGCGAUUUUUUGAUAAAAAGAAGAAGAUAUAAAAACGUGUACAACAGGUUUAAAUUUCUAGUUUUCUAAUUAACUUAUGUGUAAAUAUAUUAACAAUAAGUAAUUUUAUUGUUUUCAGAUGGCAGAAAAUAAACAGCAAACAGUUUCAACAACAACGACAACCAGCGAAAAAGUGCUGAUAGAUUUGUGCAUUUUUUUAAUGAAUAAACAGAUUUUUCAAGCAGCUGACUAAACGCACAAAUCUGUCGUCUAUCACCAUAAAAUUUCAAGUCGCAUUAGCAUUACUUAAGGUGGAUUAAUUUUGCUCGUCUGUCACUGCUAUUAUACAUGCCCAUGCGUACUAAGUCUGUAGCAGUUUGUAAGUCUAAAGUUCGACGUUUUUUAUGAGCUUGGCGAUUUUCGUUCGUUACUUGUUUGUGAAUGUUCGACCAAAAACAAUACUGCCACAACGAUGCGCAAGCCUCCAGAUAAAGAGAAGCUUAAAGAACCGUAGUUUUACAAGCAUAUGAGAAUUUGCUGAAAGCGCCAAAGGCUAUGCCAAAAUUCGAGUUUAAAAAUUGUUUCGAUGAUUGGAAGAAGCGCUGGGGACUAUUUUAAAGGCGACAACAUUAAUGUAGACAGGUUUUUUCAAAAACGCAAAACAAUCGUUAUUUUUUUAACACACCUCGUACAUAUGUACAUACUUGUAAGCAUACCAGGGCGGCGUAAUCUUCUACUGAUUCAUAAGCUGUUAUUAACACGCCUAUUGCGAGUGUCGACUGCCAGUAGAUAAUCGAUUAGUGAGCAAUAAUCGACUAUUAUUGUAAGUGUCGAUUAAACGCUCAACCAUCAACUAUGAAUGAUUUUCAAUCGCUCAUUUGUCGACAGAUACUUUUCGGUCGUUAUAAAUUUUUGAAUUUUGUCAAGCAAGUGACACAACAGCAUAUUAAAAUAUAAGCGACUCAAGUGCUGAACAUAAAGACGACGACACGACGUAGCGACGGCUGAUCAUAAAUGUCGUUUUGAAGCCAGCGUCUUGAACAUUUUCAAGACGGCAGCAAUUUCAUUGUUGUCGUACUAAAAUCUUUCACUUCAGUAAAAUUUACAUAUUUAGAUUAAAGCGAAAUUAUUUGUGCAAAAAAAUGCAAAAAUAGGUCGAUUUAUUUGUUUUAAAUCAGUGUCGGCCAAAAUGCAUUUUUCCUAUGACCGGGGCAUAGGCUAGCUACUGCGACGUCAAACACGAGUAUACGUAUACUCUUCUGCCAGCUUCAGAAAAAACGAAAGAACCAGUAAACUGCUCGUAUAAUAUACGAAUAGCUUGGUUCGGCAGCAGCGUAUGGCGAAGCUAAUUAUAUCACUUGCGUUUCAGAAUUCUGAGCUAGCACGUAUGCGCAAGUUUAAUUUUUUACACUGCCAGAAAAUACCCCCUUGCGUAAUUUAUAAAAAUGUUAAAAAUUGAAUUGGAAAAAAAUAGAUGAAACAAAAUAUUAUAACAUAAAUUUUUAAAUUAUAUUCCAUGUUUAGAUCCACAUAUAGCUGUGAAGUUUCAUUUUCAACACUUAAAUUGGUCCAAAAUAAGUAUAGAAACAAUCUUUCGGAUCAACAUAUGUAUAGCUGACCUCAUUCGAAUUAAGGAGUAUAAUUCUGAGAUAAAUGUGGUCAAAGUAAUGGAAAACGCACUGAUCAACAUUUGUACAAAUUGAACUUAAAACAUUUUCAUCAACAUUGUAAAAAAAAUUACUCAUUAUUUAUUCAGUGUACUUUUCUGCCAACACAGUUUGCAGCAACGAUUUACGCACACAAGUGAAAGCUACAUACUAUUGCAUUGGACAAUACUGUUUUAAAUAAUCAAUUGUUAUUAUAACUGAUAUAUCAAAGCUAUUUUUCGCUUUUGCUGGCAAAAUAACGUCAUACUUGUUAGAACUUUGAAUAAUUUUACAUUUCACAUAUUAGUGGCAGCUCUACAGCGGCCAUUGUCGUCGGCGAAAUUAGAAACAUUUCUAGUUUGGCGACACCAAAAGCUUCAACCAUUUUGUCGUGAAGUCGUGCUGUUGUCUAAAAAGCUGUGCCCAUAAGAACGCGUGUAUUUUAAUAUUUGACAGAUGUCGCUCGUCGCUUGUCGUCGUCUAUGUGUUCGGCAUUUGAAUCGACAGAACAUUUUGAUCUGUAGAAAUCUUACACCGCAUAAUACUAUAGACAGACAUGUAUGCCACAGUAACCAUAUGUGUAUAACCGAUGUGCGAAAUUUUACAAACGACAAUACAACUACAAUACGCUGCUAGAAGCCAUUGAAAUGCAGUGAUGUUGUGGAAUGUACUACAAUGGCACGCGCUAAACACACCGAAAGCUUUAAGCGCUUCUAUCACAAUCAUAUGUCUACUCACAUUUAAUGAAAGAUUUAAUGCAAAAUAAAGCGAAAAUAAAAACUUAAAUUUGAAAAAAUUAUAACUAAGCCGUGUACGAUUUCCUGCCUUUUGUUUAUAACUUUAUUUUGUUUAAAUGGAUGCUGUUGCAAAGCUGUUAUAUACUAUAUGUGUGUUACAUAGUUGCUUAAGUUUUUACUGUACGGCCACUGAUGUCUGUCUAAGGUACAACGUUAGUAAAACUUUCUAAAACGCAGUGCUCAGUUAUUGAACAUACAUAUAUAUUUAUAUCCAAUUAAAUGGUUAAUUAGUGCCUCUUUUACAAGCAUGCAGAAAUAAAGCAAGUUUUACGUACCUGUGCAUUGAGAAUUAGUUGAAAUUUGUUGACAAGUUUUCGCUGGACAGACAAUCCUUAUUUCUAAUAUCAGUCGUUCAAUCAAUUAAUCAAUCAAUUGACCAAUUAGUUUAUUUUCAAUUAUUGCAAUCAGUGAAACAUGUUGUUGAAUUAUUUUUUUUAUUUCAUAAUAUUCGUUCAGGUUUAAUUUGCAAAAAAACAAAAAAUAAGAGAGAAAAGUUAGUUAAAAACAUGUUCAUCCUAAACUGCUCAUUCAAUUUUGUUGUUUUCGUAUUACGUUUUUGCUUUUUUCUUAUUUAAUUGUUUUUUUUUUGUUAAUGUUUUGAUUUUUUUUAUUACUAAUUUGUUUAACAACAAUAUUUUUUUUUUGCGUGUUUGUACACUGGUAUGUGUGAGAUUGCUGUGGAGCUGAAUAUGAAUUGUCUAUAUGUACUGAUGUAUGUACAUACAUACAUACUCAUAUUUAACCUCAAUCAACAACGAAACAAGCUGUGUAAAGAAACCACUAAAAUUAUAAUAACUUUUACUGCUAGCAGAAAGCUAUUUAGUUAUGAGCGGAUAAUGUGACAUUUAACUCUACUAUUUACGGUUGCCGUUGGAAACAUCUAACAGAGAGGCAGAGAUAGCCAGAAUAUAACGUUAUGAAAUUAGCCAGCUAGUGCACAAGAACGACACCGAGCCGUUCGCUACCAAACGAGGUUUCAGCAGGAUAAGGAAGCGAAGCUUAUGGGUCUGGUGGUGAACGAGGACAAAAUGAAUUACCUAUUGUCAUUAAACAAACAGUCGGCGCAUUCGCGUCUUGGCUACCACGUCACUGUUGACAGUCAUAAUAUUGAAAUUGUAGUUAAUUGGGUCUACCUUGGGACCAGCAUCAACAACACCAACAACAAGGCCAGCCUAGAAAACAAACGCAGAAUCGCAUCCGCCAGCAGGUGCUUCUUUGGACUGAGUAGGCAA